AGGACGAACGCUGGCGGCGUGCUUAACACAUGCAAGUCGAGCGGAAAGGCCCUUCGGGGUACUCGAGCGGCGAACGGGUGAGUAACACGUGAGCAACCUGCCCCUGGCUCUGGGAUAGCCUCCGGAAACGGGGGUUAAUACCGGACAUGACCUGCUGCUGCAUGGCGGUGGGUGGAAAGUUUUUCGGCCAGGGUGGGGCUCGCGGCCUAUCAGCUUGUUGGGGGGGUGACGGCCCACCAAGGCGACGACGGGUAGCCGGCCUGAGAGGGCGACCGGCCACACUGGGACUGAGACACGGCCCAGACUCCUACGGGAGGCAGCAGUGGGGAAUAUUGCGCAAUGGGGGGAACCCUGACGCAGCGACGCCGCGUGCGGGAUGAAGGCCUUCGGGUUGUAAACCGCUUUCACCAGGGACGAAGCGAGAGUGACGGUACCUGGGGAAGAAGCGCCGGCUAACUACGUGCCAGCAGCCGCGGUAAUACGUAGGGCGCGAGCGUUGUCCGGAAUUAUUGGGCGUAAAGAGCUCGUAGGCGGCUGGUUGCGUCUGCUGUGAAAUCCCGGGGCUUAACCCCGGGCGUGCAGUGGAUACGGGCCGGCUGGAGGCAGGCAGGGGAGAACGGAAUUCCCGGUGUAGCGGUGAAAUGCGCAGAUAUCGGGAGGAACACCGGUGGCGAAGGCGGUUCUCUGGGCCUGUACUGACGCUGAGGAGCGAAAGCGUGGGGAGCGAACAGGAUUAGAUACCCUGGUAGUCCACGCCGUAAACGUUGGGCGCUAGGUGUGGGUCCCUUCCACGGGGUCUGUGCCGCAGCUAACGCAUUAAGCGCCCCGCCUGGGGAGUACGGCCGCAGGCUAA
Molecule: ribosomal RNA, 853 nt
Filed under: uncultured soil bacterium
Lineage: Bacteria
Description: bacterial SSU rRNA
Rfam family: Bacterial small subunit ribosomal RNA
Source: RNAcentral